CUGGGCGGCGUGCCUAAUACAUGCAAGUCGAGCGGACAGAAGGGAGCUUGCUCCCGGACGUUAGCCCGUUAGAAGGGUGAGUAACACGUAGGUAACCUGCCCCUUAGACUGGGAUAACUCCGGGAAACCGGAGCUAAUACGGGAUAAUAAAGAGAAUCACCUGAUUCUCUUUUGAAAGACGGCUUCUGCUGGUACUUUAUGGUGGGGCUGGCGCCGCUUAACUAGGUG
This 228-nucleotide ribosomal RNA is filed under the name Bacillus sp. GUVFAM-1. RNAcentral describes it as "partial 16S ribosomal RNA". It matches the Rfam family "Bacterial small subunit ribosomal RNA", at positions 38 to 251 of the family's 1533-position model. The record is from RNAcentral. Lineage: Bacteria; Bacillati; Bacillota; Bacilli; Caryophanales; Bacillaceae.